Molecule: non-coding RNA, 1285 nt
Organism: Manis javanica (Malayan pangolin)
Lineage: Eukaryota; Metazoa; Chordata; Mammalia; Pholidota; Manidae
Source: RefSeq, a predicted model, not a curated record
GACAUGGCCUUGGACCUUUCAUCACAUGAACCAAUGAUGGCUGGCCCUCCUGGCACCUUGGGGACAAGGCCUGGAAGCUGGCCUCCUGUGUAUUCCUGGAAUAACAACAGAGUGGCCUCCAAAGAUCACAGUAAUAUAUCCUGAAUGGACAGAAGCGGCUUUAAUUAGAGGAAAUCAUAGAAACUGUGCUCAAUUUUCGGGCUCCCUUGACUGGUUAAUCAGCCGAUUGGAAAGACUGGAAGCUUCUUCUGUCUCCUCCGGUAUCAACCAGCAUUAACUCUGCAGUCACCUGGGGGCCCUGUGCUGCCAUUUCCCUCUUAGAGAGCAAUGUGUCUGCUAGAAUGGAUGUACUGAUUUCCUGGAUUGCCAAAGGCCAAGAGAGAUGGAUUUUGCUGUCUGAAGCCCCAGUUCCUCAGCUCGCUGUCUCCUGCAUUAUGCUCUGAAGGCAGAAGCCAACGUUCAGUUCUGAAUCCCUGACACCUGAAAGAGUGCCUGGCACUCCUGAGAAGUGUGAUGAAUGGAAAUGGGUUACAAUUCUCAGGUAGUAAAUAAGAACUGGGUCUUUGGUGUCAGGCUGUUAGAGUUUGAAUGCUGUCUUCAUGACUUUAGCUUCUAUAUCCUCAUCUGCAGGAGAGGAAAAUUAACUGUUGGGUGGUUUAUUAUCAUCAACAAGAUAACGAAUGUCAGCUAUUUAAGACUAUCUGACAAAUAGUGAGGUCUCAAUAAAUGAUAGCUAUUACUGUUUUUAAACAGGGUUAUUGAGGUAUAACUGAAGAAGAUUAAAUUGCACAUAUUUGAAGUGUGCAUUUUACAAGUUUUGAUAUAUGUAUAUAUAGCCAUGAGACCAACACCACAAUCAAGAUAAUUAACAGACCCAUUCCCUCCAAAAGUUUCCUUAUAUCCCUUUGUAAUCCAGCUGCUGCUCCCCCCACACACAAAUUCCCUCCCCAAGGAACUACUAAUCUUCUUUCUGUCAAUGUGGGUUAACUGAAAUUUUCUAGAAUUUUUUUAUAAGUGAAAUCAUACAGUAUGUACUGUUUUUUUGUGUGUGUUUUUUCUCUCAACAUAACUAUUUUAAGAGUCGUACAUGUUGUAUCAAUAGUUCAUUAUUUUUUAUUGCUGAGUAAUGUUCCAUCCCAUGAAUAUACCACAAUUUGUUUUUUCAUUUACCUGUUGAUGGACAGAUGUAUCAUUCUCAGUUUUUGCCUGUUAAAAAUAAAGCUGUUGUGCAUGAGAAUAUAGUCAAUGGUUCUGUAACAUCUUUCUAUGUUGACAGAUAGUAACC